This 2241-nucleotide ribosomal RNA is filed under the name Triticum aestivum (bread wheat). RNAcentral's name for it is "partial small subunit ribosomal RNA". The record is from RNAcentral. Lineage: Eukaryota; Viridiplantae; Streptophyta; Magnoliopsida; Poales; Poaceae.
AUGAGCAUGCCAUGGCGGCGUGGCAUGAGCGCUUCCCGCAGGAUGUCGUCGCCGAGAACGAGUUCUGGAUGCAGAGGAGGGCGGAGCGAGCCACGCAUCAGGGCGGCGUUCGCCCAGGGCACGCACCGGUUCGACAUCGUCGGCUACAGCGCUGCACGGGAGGCCCUCGGCGGCUCCGUCCGGUCUGGCAGCUUCAGCGCCGGCGGCUUCCUCUGGGCCAUCAUCUGCCGCCUCCAAGCUCCCACUCCGGCGGCCGGGCAAUGUGGCCUUGCGUCGAUCUCGCUGGAGCUCUCCAAGAACGCCACGUCCAAGGACAUUGUCGCCAUGGCCAGCCUCCGGAUCGACCAAAGCAACCGCACCGGCCAAUUCCCGUCUGCCGUGUGGCGGAGCCAGGAGGCCAAGACCUUUGGCGCUCGGUCCAUGAGCCCCGUCGCCUGGGAGCUCGCCGUCCCGGACGCGUUCCAGAACCACGAGUCACGCUACGUCAUGGACGACUGCCUCACCAUACAUUGCACCGUGGAGGUCCUCCAGCAGGAGCUGCAGCAGCAGGACUCCACCGCCAUCAAAAACUGUCUCGUCCUCGUGCCACCGGCGCCGAGCAUCUCUCAGGACUUCUACAACCUUCUCAGGGAGAGGCGGUCGCCGAAGCCGGACGUGACCUUCAUCCUUGAGGACGACGGCACCGAGGUCCAGGCGCACAAGUUGCUGCUGGCCAUGCGGUCACCGGUGUUCCGUGCCCAGUUCCUGCGCGGGGACAUGAAGGAGCGGAGCGCGCGGCGCCUCAAGAUCAGCGGCUUGACCGCCUCGGCUUUCAGGGCCAUGCUCUACUUUAUCUACACCGACGAGCAGCCUACACCGAAUAGACGAAGAUGCCCUGUGGCCAUGGCACAGGACCUACUCGUGGCCGCGGAUCUCUACGACCUCGAGAGGCUGAGGCUCAUGUGCGAGAAGGUACUCUCUGAGAGCAUCGACGUGGGCAAUGUCAUGACAACACUGAUGUUGGCCCACGGCAGACAUAGCUGUCAGCAGCUGGAGGCAUCGUGCAUCGAGUUCUUGGUGUCUGACCCCGACGUGUACGACACCGUGGAGGCCACUGAGGAGUACAAGGAACUCGAAAAGACAUGCCCCUCUUUUAUAAACGAGAUCACCAAGAAAGUAGCCAAGACCGCAGUUUCCCACCACAGAUCUCCAUCUACUUCUUCUUGCACCAACAAUGGUAGCAAGAUGACAACGAGAAGCGUGUCAAAGUAUACCCCGUCGGUGAUGAUGAGCGGCACACACGAGUUCACCAUCCAAUGCUUGAGUGCCAUGAGAAAGACGCAUGGUGUGGGUCAAUACAUCCGAUCUAGUAGUUUUCAAGUUGGGGGUUAUGAGUGGACCAUAGAGGUGUUCCCUUCAGGACAUAAAGAGGACAUCACCGAGAGUAUUGGUAUCUUCAUCAGGCCCUUCAUUCAUGACGAUGAUACAAAGGUAGAAGCAUCAGUGACUUUAAAGCCCAUUGACCCCACCGGUGAGUUGCCGCCGUUUCCUCGCCGUAUUUUUACACACGUCUAUGCUGGCAGGAACUGCGAGUCCUGGGGGUGGCCAAAGUUCAUCAUUGCAAAAUAUGCCAACACACACUACGUGGGACAUGACGGCUCUUUCACCCUACAAUGUCAAGUUGAGGUACCUACAGAGUCCUGCACUAGUGGCACCAUCGGCGUAGGCACCAUCGUCACGGUGCCGCCGUCAAAUAUGGCAUGGCAUCUUGAGCAACUGUUCGCGAGGGAGGAGGGCUCGGACGUAAAGUUCCUGGUCGAGGACAGUGAGAUCUGCGCCCACGGGCUUGUGAUAGCGACACGGUCGCCAGUGCUACACGAGGCGGUGGAAUCAGCUAGCAGCAAAGACCAUGUAAGGAUCGAUGUAAUAAGUUCCAUGGCUUUCAAGGCCAUGCUCCACUUCAUCUACACUGACGAGUUGCCUCGUGUUGAUGACCUAGUCCAUAUGGUCGGUGAUAUCACAACGAUGGCCGGAGAGAUGCUCGUGGCGGCGUGCCGGUUCCGACUGGAGAGGAUGAAGCGGCUGUGCAUAAACUUGCUAGCCGAGAAGGUUACAACCGUGCUGAGUGCGCUGACCACGGCGAAGGUGGCACGACGUCACAACUGCCCGGAGCUGGAAGAAUAUUGUAGGCAGUACAUGUCGUUGCCACACUUGACAAGUAAAGUUACAGAAACUUGUAUCAACCUGUUCCUAGAAUCUUAA